UGUUGAUUGAAUUAGCAUCCUGUGAUUUUGUAAUCAAAAUCAUUUUUUGUGUAAACAGAAGUUAAAAUUUAACACAAAAUGGAAUUUCGAGUACGAAACCGCAAGAAUUCAAUUCGGCGCACCGUACCAUCGAGUCUGAUAAAGUUAAUUGUAUUUGUUUUUCAAAAUCAAGCGUUAGGUUUUUUAAACAUCAAAAAGAGAGGAGGAACAAUGUGGAAGUUAACAAAAGGGCAAUGAAAACUGUUAAGCCAAAAAAAGUUGACAACGUAAUGACAAACACAUAAUGAAAAUAAAGUCUUAUUAAUACAAGCCCCAUGAUUGUUAAGAUGUCAGGUGUUUUGGAAGUGUGGGCAGAUUUUGAUCUCCUACUUGCAUCCGUCAUGUUGCUUAUAUUUUGUACACAUUUAUUGAUAAGUCUCCUUCUGUGCAAUCACUAACGAGGAAAAGAGGACAAAACUAUGGUUCGACAAUUUCAACAUGUCUUUUUUUAUUUAGGUUCAUCAGCAAUUGAUGGCGUCCAUAAAUAUUUUUCAUCUAGAAACAACAGCAGCGUUAUGUUUAAUGUAAAUAAAUCACCUUAUUCACAUACAAUCCAUUGCAUUAAAUUUGACAGUCAACAAACUGACAAAAGUAUUACUGUUCUUCAACAGAUUAAAAUAUCACAUACGAGUGUCAUGACGUUUGAUCAAACUAUCCUCUAAUUAUUGUGCCGAUUAUCAAAUGUAUACUCAUAUUACAACUGAGAUAGGUUAUAAACUCUCUUUAAAAUUGUUAGAAUAUUUUAUCAUUUAACUGUUCUGAGCAGUUCAAGAACUGAUCUUACUUUCAAACAGCUGUACCAUGUAGAUGUUCCACACUAAAAAUUGUUGAAUCAGUUCUUCAGUAAAACUGUCUAUAAUUCUUUCACAGUAGAACAAUCAGGCUCAGUUCAAAUAGUUCUAUAUGACAUCCUUAAAAGCAACUCUUUGGUGGAGAUUUAAAACAGGGGCCGAUAGCUGGAAGCUCCUGUUAUAUACUAGAAGUGAUUUUUAAAGGAUCAAAAUGAUGAGGGUCUUGUAUGUUUAUACUCUAUUCAUUUUACAUUACAAAUUACAUAUUAAAUAUUUCUGUUGUAGUAGUCAAAAUACUAGUCACCUAUUAUCUUACAAACAGAUUGAUAAAGAGGUUUUUAUCACAAAUAAAUAUUGGGAUUUCCUCUGGCCAUAUGGUUUUAUCGGGGCUGGUUUUACUUGACUCGUUUAAGGUUAUUGGUGAAUCAGAGACAAUAAAAAUAAAGACAGUGAUACUAAAAAGAAAAAUAAUAAUAAUAAAAAUAAAAAUAAUGAUAAUAGAAAUGAAAGUAAAAAUAAUGAUAAUAAAAGUUAUAAUUAUGAUUACAUGAGUUAACGUUGUUAUAACUGCUAUAGAACAAAAUAUGAUAUAAAUUAGUUCAUUUCAAC
This 1439-nucleotide long non-coding RNA is filed under the name Mytilus galloprovincialis (Mediterranean mussel). The record is from RNAcentral. Lineage: Eukaryota; Metazoa; Mollusca; Bivalvia; Mytilida; Mytilidae.